RNAcentral lists this ribosomal RNA (459 nucleotides) under uncultured Desulfobulbus sp. RNAcentral describes it as "bacterial SSU rRNA". It matches the Rfam family "Bacterial small subunit ribosomal RNA", at positions 924 to 1382 of the family's 1533-position model. The record is from RNAcentral. Lineage: Bacteria; Pseudomonadati; Thermodesulfobacteriota; Desulfobulbia; Desulfobulbales; Desulfobulbaceae.
CACAAGCGGUGGAGUAUGUGGUUUAAUUCGAUGCAACGCGAAGACUACUAGCUUGACAUCCCGGAGACCCUUAGGAAACUAGGGGGUGCUUCCAUCUGGAAGAAUCUGGAGACAGGUGCUGCAUGGCUGUCGUCAGCUCGUGUCGUGAGAUGUUGGGUUAAGUCCCGCAACGAGCGCAACCCUUGCCUUUAGUUGCCAGCAGUUCGGCUGGGCACUCUAAAGGGACUGCCGGUGUUAAACCGGAGGAAGGUGGGGAUGACGUCAAGUCCUCAUGGCCUUUAUGACCAGGGCUACACACGUACUACAAUGGCCGAUACAAAGGGCAGCGACACUGCGAGGUGAAGCCAAUCCCGUAAAAUCGGUCUCAGUCCGGAUUGGAGUCUGCAACUCGACUCCAUGAAGUUGGAAUCGCUAGUAAUCGUGGAUCAGCAUGCCACGGUGAAUACGUUCCCGGGACUU